Molecule: long non-coding RNA, 1176 nt
Filed under: Fragaria vesca (wild strawberry)
Lineage: Eukaryota; Viridiplantae; Streptophyta; Magnoliopsida; Rosales; Rosaceae
Description: long non-coding RNA (FVES_LNC001849)
Source: RNAcentral
UGAUCUUUCCGGCUACCUACGACCGAGUCCCGUUUAUGGUCUCUCAGACUUGUUGUCUUCUCCUCUUUACUGUAUCACUGGUCUCUCAAAUUUCUUGCUAACUUUAGAAUCGAACCUAACCCAAAACCCACACAGGUUCAAUCAAAUGAACCAUAGAAAGAAAAUAACGCAAAGAUUUACCUCGUUACCCAAUUCCUCAAAGCAGUUCUUGAGGUACGACGAUUUCUGAAAAUCCACAACUAUAGCUCCGUCGUCAUCCGAGCAGAAGACCGCCGAAUCGAAUUUCCAGAUUUCGGUCUACCUCUUCAUAUCUUCAGAUCUGUAAUCCACUUUCAUGUAAUUGAGUAAUUCUCCCGCCUCGCAAGUAUACCCGAUGCAAAGCUUCUUCAACACACCUCUUCACUGUUCAGAAAGCUUCUCCAAUCGCGGAGGGAGAAUUACCAACAGUCAUGCACAACACACGCUAAAAGCUUCUCCACCCGCUGCUUGACACAUGCUCUAGAGAGCCGCAGUACUCAAGGUACUGCGUACAAGUAAGUAAGUAACAAAGUUACAUUAAACGAUGUGUUUUGUUUCUUUUUUCUUUUUAUCUUUUUGUAAAUCAUUUUAUAAAAUAAAACAAAUGAAAAUUCAGUAUAGCUGGAAAUGAAACAAGUGAUGUGUGACUGGUAAAACUAUGGGCCAACUCAGUCUCGACUUCUGACGCUGUGUUACUUAUGUAGUAACAACAGAGGAGCACGACCAAAGAAUUCGAUCUUCCUUCCCGUGAUCCCGAAAGGAGGUGGAAACAGAGAGUAUGACACUCUAUUCGUCCCACCUGCAACAAAACAUAGAUCUCAUUUGUUCCCUCUUUGUUGAAAAGAAAAGUUAGUAUAACACAAAGAACAUCAAAUAUGUCAGAAAUCAAGCAAAAAUGGUAAUAGACUAAAACAAAUGAUAUAGUUUUCAGAGAUAUAGCUAGGGCUAUUGGAUACAUUAGUUUGAUGAUGAGACCUGUUUUUUAGUUCUCACUGUUUGGUAUUUUGACGAAGAGAUCAUCUUCUCAUCCCUAGGAAACCGAAUUUACACAACAAACGAAAGUUUGAAUCACCUCGUUAUAUAGAUUCCAAAACUUUAAGCAUUGAUGGAGUCAAACAUUAUUAUGAAAUUUCUCAAUGCUUACCUGCAAAAAAUUGA